UUAUUCGUUGUUUUGUUAGCAGCAUGUGCUUAUAUCGCUCUUACAAUUUUCUGAUUUUUUGAUCGAAAAAGUGUUUUUUCUGUUCAGUAUUUGAGUGUAUUCUGUUCCUUAAGACCUGGUUGACUUCCUGAAGAUCAGCAAUAUUAAUAAUACACCAUAAACACACCAUAAACAGAUGAAGCCUCAAGAUCACUCAAAAGAAGAUAAGACAUGGAUCACUCCCUAUAUAAUCCUGUGUUUGGUCAUCAUUCUGGUUUUCGGGAUUGCUCUUCAAAUAUCUGAUUAAAAAUUUUUAUUUUUUAAGAAGAAACAUAGAUCACUCCCUUUAUAAUCCUGAUGUUUUGGCCCUCAUUCUGGUUUAAAUAUCUGAUUAAAAUAACUAUUUUGUACAAUAAAUGGAUAGAUGGAUACAGUUCCAGGGCAGUACAUAUCAUAUUCUAUGUUGAUCUUGAUGAAUAUCAUCAAUGCAUCGGGAUUGACAAGAGUAUAUCUAAAAUGUUAUUUAUUUGGGUUAAAUUUAAUUUAAGUGAUUUAUUAUAAUGAUUAUAAAUUAUAAGUUUAUAAUGAUCAUUAUCAGUGGAUUUCAUGAUUUUUAAAUUUCAUGGACCUCUGAGUUAAAUUUUUAUGGUUCCUUUAUUAUCAGAGACAAAUUCAGACUAGGUACUUAUUUUUAAUUUGAGCCAAUUUUAAAAGCCAAAAAUUACUUUGGGCCACUUCUUAUUCUUUUUGGGAGAAUACCUCUUACCUUAAACUUCAAUUCAUAUUCUAUACUAUAUUCUAUUGACUGCAUUUCUAUAGGUUUUAUUUGUUUGGUAAAGUAUACCCUCCACUGAGAGAGAGAAUUUUGCUUCUUUUUGUUUAUGGUUAACUAUCAGUUUUCUGCAGUAGCUUGACUCCCAUAUUUUCUUUAUGGAAAUAAUAUCAUUAUUCAUCGAUUCUAUAAAAUAUUUCAUUAGUUUUAUUUAAGUCUUCUUUUACCUGUAUUAUUUUUCUUAAUGGUAUUUAAUACUUUUUUGCUUGUGGAAUUCCUUGAAUCGAAUUUCAAUUUUUAUGGAUUCAUUUCCAUGCCAUUUUUUUCAGAUCAUAUGCUAUGAGUUUCUGUAUUUUUCCUUGAUUUUGUGUUUGUUCAAAUAUAAUUUAAAUACAUUUAAAAAUCUUAAAAUAAGGUCUAAUUUCUGAUCAAUUCCUGGCGCAUUCGCCAUUUAUUAAAAAAAUUGACAUCCACAGGGUGUCACUUAUGUCUUUCCAUGCACUUUAUUUCUAAUUAACUUUCCUGAGUAACAUCGACUCCCGAGCAUCAUAACUAGCCUCCCCUAAGAAGAGGAGACCCGGGUCACCCCCUAACCCUGAUGUUCGGCCAU
Long non-coding RNA from Sitophilus oryzae (rice weevil), 1361 nucleotides. RefSeq lists it as uncharacterized. Lineage: Eukaryota; Metazoa; Arthropoda; Insecta; Coleoptera; Curculionidae. The record is from RefSeq and is a predicted model, not a curated record. The transcript is spliced from 4 exons.